CCUACGGGAGGCAGCAGUAAGGAAUAUUGGUCAAUGGGCGCAAGCCUGAACCAGCCAUGCCGCGUGCAGGAUGACGGCCCUCUGGGUUGUAAACUGCUUUUAUACGGGAAGAACAGCAUCUACGUGUAGGUGUUUGACGGUACUGUAAGAAUAAGGACCGGCUAACUUCGUGCCAGCAGCCGCGGUAAUACGAAGGGUCCAAGCGUUAUCCGGAUUUAUUGGGUUUAAAGGGUGCGUAGGCGGCUUUUUAAGUCAGUGGUGAAAGCCUGAUGCUCAACAUCAGAACUGCCAUUGAUACUGAAGAGCUUGAGUACAGUUGAGGUUGGCGGAAUGUGUCAUGUAGCGGUGAAAUGCUUAGAUAUGACACAGAACACCGAUUGCGAAGGCAGCUAGCUAAGCUGUUACUGACGCUGAUGCACGAAAGCGUGGGGAGCAAACAGGAUUAGAUACCCUGGUAGUCCACGCCCUAAACGUUGAUAACUCGUUGUUAGCGAUAUACUGUUAGCGACCAAGCGAAAGCAUUAAGUUAUCCACCUGGGAAGUACGGUCGCAAGAUUGAAACUCAAAUGAAUUGACGGG
This 579-nucleotide ribosomal RNA is filed under the name uncultured bacterium. RNAcentral describes it as "bacterial SSU rRNA". It matches the Rfam family "Bacterial small subunit ribosomal RNA", at positions 338 to 917 of the family's 1533-position model. The record is from RNAcentral.